UGCAUUCCAACAUUCUACUGCCCG
This 24-nucleotide non-coding RNA is filed under the name Drosophila melanogaster (fruit fly). Lineage: Eukaryota; Metazoa; Arthropoda; Insecta; Diptera; Drosophilidae. The record is from RNAcentral.